GGCGCGGCGUUGGCCACGCUCGUGGAGUUCAUGGGCCAAGCCACAAGGCAGUGCGAGAAGUACUAUAGCUUGGUGCCAGCCUGUAGAUGCAAAGAGCAUGAAAUGAAGCACAUCUGCAGAUACCACGGCAGGCAAGCAGGUGAAAAAGUGAUGGAGGCUGCAGAAGAAAAGACCAGGAAGGCUUCCAAAGACAUCUACAUUGAAGUUUCUCCUGGCACCUAUUCUGUCACAGCAACCUCAGAGGACAUGGUGAAACAAACCCAUGUGGUGGAUGUCAGUGCAGGACAAAGCGUUGAUUUAACUUUUGUUCUAUGAUGUUUGUUGUUUCUUGGCAAUCAUGGGAAUAAAAUACUAGGCUUUUUAAUGCA
This 368-nucleotide long non-coding RNA is filed under the name Struthio camelus australis. Its description in RNAcentral is "lncRNA (ENSSCUG00000011592.1)". The record is from RNAcentral. Lineage: Eukaryota; Metazoa; Chordata; Aves; Struthioniformes; Struthionidae.